This 253-nucleotide ribosomal RNA is filed under the name uncultured bacterium. RNAcentral describes it as "partial 16S ribosomal RNA". It matches the Rfam family "Archaeal small subunit ribosomal RNA", at positions 474 to 727 of the family's 1478-position model. The record is from RNAcentral.
UACCAGCACCCCGAGUGGUCGGGACGAUUAUUGGGCCUAAAGCAUCCGUAGCCGGUUCUACAAGUCUUCCGUUAAAUCCACCUGCUUAACAGAUGGGCUGCGGAGGAUACUAUGGAGCUAGGAGGCGGGAGAGGCAAGCGGUACUUAGUGGGUAGGGGUAAAAUCCGUUGAUCCAUUGAAGACCACCCGUGGCGAAGGCGGCUUGCCAGAACGCACUCGACGGUGAGGGAUGAAAGCUGGGGGAGCAAACCGG